Molecule: unclassified non-coding RNA, 1704 nt
Filed under: uncultured fungus
Lineage: Eukaryota; Fungi
Description: sequence contains 18S rRNA gene, ITS1, 5.8S rRNA gene, ITS2, 28S rRNA gene
Rfam family: Eukaryotic large subunit ribosomal RNA (bases 676-1704)
Source: RNAcentral
GGAUGGAUCAUUACAAAAGAGACGGCAUGAAAAGGGUCUUUUUGACUCUUGACUGCCUGUCCAACCCACACUAUGUGAACUGUCUAACGUCUCUGGUAGGCGGAUCUCUUCAAAAAAGAUCCAGGCCAAGCCUUGAGAGUGUUUGUUUCGGCAAACUCUUUUUGACUUGACCAAACCUGCCAUGGGGUUUCGACUCCAACGUUUUAACACUGCGCUGAACCGUCCUAGUCUGAAACGUUAACACUAUUAAACAAUGUGAUAACAACUUUUGACAACGGAUCUCUUGGCUCUCGCAACGAUGAAGAACGCAGCGAAAUGCGAUACGUAAUGUGAAUUGCAGAAUUCCGUGAAUCAUCGAAUCUUUGAACGCAUAUUGCGACCUUCUGGUAUUCCGGGAGGUAUGCCUGUUUGAGAAUCGUGACUCCCUCACCCUCGAUAUGGGGUGGAUAUGAGUUUUCCCACGGUUUUUUACUGCUGGGUGACUUUAAAUUCAGGUAGGCCUUGGACGGAAACACCCGUUUAGGUGAAAAGGCGUGAUAAAACGUUGUGUUUGCAAAAAAGCAUGACAAGUAUAUCCUCGCUUCAAGUAACCGCGGGAUCAAAUGUUGAUCGACCAAAAGUGCCAACUAAACUCAGGAAAUUGAAAGUCCGUUAAAAAAAGACUUUCUGUGUACUGAAUCUCAAAUCAGGCAAGACGACCCGCUGAACUUAAGCAUAUCAAUAAGCGGAGGAAAAGAAACUAACAAGGAUUCCCCUAGUAACUGCGAGUGAAGCGGGAACAGCUCAAAUUUGAAAUCUCCGCGGUUUCCGCGGCGAAUUGUAGUUUCAAGAGGCGUUUUCGGCGGCGGCCUUGGCUCAAGUCCCUUGGAACAGGGUGUCAUAGAGGGUGAGAACCCCGUGAAGCCUUGGCUUGCUGCUAUGUGAUACGCUUUCAAAGAGUCGGGUUGUUUGGGAUUGCAGCCCUAAUCGGGAGGUAAAUUUCUUCUAAAGCUAAAUAUUGGCGAGAGACCGAUAGCGAACAAGUACCGUGAGGGAAAGAUGAAAAGAACUUUGAAAAGAGAGUUAAACAGUACGUGAAAUUGUCAAAAGGGAAUGGCUUGAAACCAGUCAUGCUGUCUGGAAUUCAGCAGGCCACACCGGCCUGUCCACUUUCCAGAUGGCAGGUCAACGUCAGUUUUUUUCGUGUCGAAAGGCCUUGGGAAGGUAGCGAGCCUUCGGGCGCGUGUUAUAGCCCCUGGCUCUGGCAUGUGAAGAGACUGAGGACCGCAGGGCGCAUUGGGUCAACCGGUCAGGCGAAUACCUUUUGAUGGACUGCACGCAGGCCAUUAGAAGGCAUAAACCUUUGCCGGGUACACCUCUCCGUCCCUUAGGACGUUGACGAAAUGGUUUUAAACCACCCGUCUUGAAACACGGACCAAGGAGUCUAACAUAUACGCGAGUAUUUGGGUGGCAAACCCAUAUGCGAAAUGAAAGUGAUUCAGGUGGGAUCCUCGGUGCACCAUCGACCGGUCUGGAUAUUUUAAUUGAUAGAUCUGAGUAAGAGCGUACAUGUUGGGACCCGAAAGAUGGUGAACUAUGCCUGAAUAGGGCGAAGCCAGAGGAAACUCUGGUGGAGGCUCGUAGCGGUUCUGACGUGCAAAUCGAUCGUCAAAUUUGGGUAUAGGGGCGAAAGACUAAUCGAACUAUCUAGUAGCUGGUUCCCUC